CCUACGGGUGGCAGCAGUGGGGAAUAUUGCUCAAUGGGGGCAACCCUGAUGCAGCGAAGCCGCGUGAGUGAAGACGUAACUAGUUAUGUUAAGCUCUAUCUGCAGAGGAGAAAAUGACGGUACCUGUGUCUGAAGCCCCGGCUAACUUCGUGCCAGCCCCCGCGGUAAUACGGAGGGGGCCGGCGUUAUACGGAUUUACUGGGUGUUAAGGGAGCGUAGAGGGCUGUGCAAGUCUGGAGUGAAAGGCGGGGGCUCAACCCCCGGAUUGCACUGGAAACUGGAAGGCUGGAGUGCAGGUGAGGUAAGUGGAAUUCCUAGUGUAGCGGUGAAAUGCGUAGAUAUUAGGAAGAACACC
This 355-nucleotide ribosomal RNA is filed under the name uncultured bacterium. RNAcentral describes it as "partial 16S ribosomal RNA". It matches the Rfam family "Bacterial small subunit ribosomal RNA", at positions 338 to 710 of the family's 1533-position model. The record is from RNAcentral.